Molecule: long non-coding RNA, 785 nt
Organism: Ipomoea triloba (trilobed morning glory)
Lineage: Eukaryota; Viridiplantae; Streptophyta; Magnoliopsida; Solanales; Convolvulaceae
Exons: 3
Source: RefSeq, a predicted model, not a curated record
CUCCCAAUAAUUUUUGUAAUCCUGAUCCAGUGUUCUGCCAUUUUCGGCCAAUACAUGUAUUUUUUUCAAUUUGUUCCAAUUAUUUAACUGAUCUUAUCCAUGUUUUAAUUCCAUUUUGUCUUCUUAUGGAGACCAAGGCAGCCACCCUAUUGUCCCUAAAUUAUUUUGACUUCAUUCUUCUUAUUUUCGGCAGUCAACAAUUCCAUUUUGGCAGAUUAGGUGGCAAUUAGCAAUCAAAACAAAAUUUUUGGGGCUGAUUAAGGGAGAUAGAGUUGAUAUCCUUAUUAAGGUACAUGUGAAGACUUGGUUAUUUUCCUUCCAGAGUCAAUCCAAAUUCUGCCUCUCUCCUUCUCUCUUUGGUCGCAAAUAACAAGAAAUCUACAGAAACUUGAGCAACUCUUCUUCGUCAUAUAUAUACACUUACUUCUUCAAUAUCAAUAUAUAAGAUUUCUAUUCAUUGCAAUCUAUCAUUCUUCAAUCCUAACAAGAACCAAUAUCUUAAUCCAUUGUUCCAGGUUUCCUAUCAAAGUGGUUAGGAUGCUACUUUUAAGUAUUGAUAUGAGUUUUGGACUUCAAGGUGAACAUGGAUAAGAAUUGAGAUGGAUUCACGUUGAGGAUGGAAUUUAGUCUAUUUAAGAAUAGACUCUUUUGAGAAGAUUUAUUAUUUUUGAGGAGUUGAAUUAUUUAUUCAUUAUUGUAAUUGUAUUUAAAUUUGUAUGUAUUAAGCUUGAAUAUAAUUGGAUUAAUUAUUGUAAGUUGUAAGUAUUAGCCUUAGUGUUUGGGUA